Molecule: ribosomal RNA, 499 nt
Filed under: uncultured bacterium
Lineage: Bacteria
Description: bacterial SSU rRNA
Rfam family: Bacterial small subunit ribosomal RNA
Source: RNAcentral
AGAGUUUGAUCAGUUGGCUCAGGGAUGAACGCUAGCGGCAGGCCUAAUACAUGCAAGUCGAACGCUCAGUAGCAAUACUGGGAGUGGCGCACGGGUGCGUAACACGUACACAAUCUACCUCUAAGCGGGGGACACCUCCUGGAAACGGGGAUUAAUACCGCAUAAUAUGCCGAAGUCGCAUGACUUUGGUAUUAAAGCAGCAAUGCACUUAGAGAUGAGUGUGCGUCCCAUUAGGUAGUUGGUGAGGUAACGGCUCACCAAGCCUAUGAUGGGUAGCCGGUCUGAGAGGAUGGUCGGCCACACGGGCACUGAGACACGGGCCCGACUCCUACGGGAGGCAGCAGUAAGGAAUAUUGGUCAAUGGUGGAAACACUGAACCAGCCAUGCCGCGUGGAGGAAUAAGGUCCUACGGAUUGUAAACUCCUUUUGACGAGGAAGAAAAUGUUAGAUUUAUCUAAUUUUGACGGUACUCGUAGAAUAAGCACCGGCUAACUCCGUG